Molecule: transfer RNA, 51 nt
Organism: Plasmopara halstedii
Lineage: Eukaryota; Oomycota; Peronosporomycetes; Peronosporales; Peronosporaceae
Rfam family: tRNA
About the family: Transfer RNA (tRNA) molecules are approximately 80 nucleotides in length. Their secondary structure includes four short double-helical elements and three loops (D, anti-codon, and T loops). Further hydrogen bonds mediate the characteristic L-shaped molecular structure. tRNAs have two regions of fundamental functional importance: the anti-codon, which is responsible for specific mRNA codon recognition, and the 3' end, to which the tRNAs corresponding amino acid is attached (by aminoacyl-tRNA synthetases). tRNAs cope with the degeneracy of the genetic code in two manners: having more than one tRNA (with a specific anti-codon) for a particular amino acid; and 'wobble' base-pairing, i.e. permitting non-standard base-pairing at the 3rd anti-codon position.
Source: Rfam
AGCGCACCCCUGAUAAGGGUGAGGUCGGUGGUUCAAGUCCACUCAGGCCUA